UCCAGAUGCUUGCAGAGUGAAUGGAAGUUUCUUGAGACAGCCACAUUUGUGCUGAAGAGCUUUCAGACAGAUUGAUUAUUUAGAGCUCUGUGAUUGUAGAGCUGGGAUGUUGCAAGCCCAGAGCCAAAUUAUCCUGGGACAUAUUUAGUCUGUUAACAGCCACCUCUGUGUCUGAGCUAACACUUUGAUGAUGAGAGACAACGAAGCCUUUGAAAGGUGUUUAGUGGACCUGGAGCCUUCACCAAUCCCUAAGUUAAGACUCAACAGUGAAUCGCUGAGCUCAGGAUCACACAAGGCGAUUCAGACAGACCACCAGCAUCUACUUCACUUAAAGAGCCAGUGGAGGCUGGGGAGAUGGCUCAGUGGAUCUUGCAGCUGGAGGGAGGCAGCUGGGAUUCUAACCACCGCCCCUGUGUGGCUCUGCUGGAUCAAUCCCGGGUUUGGUAGAUUGGAAGGGAGGGCAGGCCGGUGAGAUACAGAUCGACAGCUGCCUGGCCCUCUCAGCCUUUGCACUGUAGCUUCAAGAUGGCACCUGCCCCCAGGACCCCUGCCUGAACGAAGAGUCUUGGUGACAUGACUGGGAUCACACCUGGUGGGGACCUUGAAGAUCUUAGAAUUGGACUCUGACAUUACCGACAACUAUGUACUGCAGAGCAGCCUUGCAUCCUUGGUAACCUCAGUCCCUUGGGGCAGCCUGACUUGGGAAUGGUGCUGCUAUUGUUGACCUCGCUGGUCACUGACCCCGUUUGUGAUAGUCCUGGAUGCAGCGGGCACCAUUUGCUCUAGCCGAUUACUGGUACAGUCAAGCACUUUGACUCGCUUCUGACUCUUGGGGGGGCUCCUGGGGGAGGGUCUAGCCUGCCUAUGGGGUGCUGGUUUACCCUGCUUUCAUUUGGGAAUUCUCUUCCACCCCAAAACACUGGCUCCUUGUCAGUUUUCAAUCAUGGGACUGUGAACUCAACUUGUGGGUCUGCGGCAUGUCCCCAUAGGAAGCCCCAGGAAUGGGCCUUAGUGACACAAGCCUGUGACUGGACCUGCCUCAAGGACCCAGAACUGAGAGCACAUGUGUCUCAGGGGUCCCAGUCUGGGAGCCGCUUUCAAACCUUGUGGCACACUAUUUCCAGUAUGUUCCCAUUAAAAAACCAUGCUCCCCACAACAACAACAACAACACAACAACAGCAGCAGCAGCAAACCCAGAUGCCAUUCUCUGAUGGCCGAUUUGAAUUCUAGAAACAGCUGAGUCUGGGGAUCCAGGCUGGCGAUUCAUUUUGGAACACACAUGUGGUUUUUUAAGUGGGAAUCGAGGAAUGCUUUUAUGUCUGUCAAACUGGUCUUCCUAAGAGACUCCCAACCUGAUAUUCUAAAUCUAAUGCUGAUUCCCUCAAUAGAGGCAGCAUGCUGAUUUAAAGUGCAUCACUCAGAGAUGGCUCAGUGGGUAAAGGCCCCUGUGGCUAAGCCCGAUUCUCUAAGUGUGGUGGUUUGCAUAGGAACAGUACCCAGGGACUCAGGUAUUUGAAUGCUUGACCCAAAGGGAGUGGCACUAUUAGGAAGUGUGGUCUUGCUGGAGGGGGUGUGGCCUUAUUGCUCAAGCUCAGCUCCGUGUGGCUUUAGCAGUCUCCUUCUGCUGCCUGCAGAUGAAGAUGUAGAACUCCCAGCUCCUCCCCCAGCACCACGUCUGCC
Mus musculus (house mouse) is the source of this 1681-nucleotide long non-coding RNA. RefSeq annotates it as predicted gene, 41286. The transcript is spliced from 3 exons. The record is from RefSeq and is a predicted model, not a curated record. NCBI's taxonomy places the organism in Eukaryota, Metazoa, Chordata, Mammalia, Rodentia, Muridae.